RNAcentral lists this ribosomal RNA (387 nucleotides) under uncultured bacterium. RNAcentral's name for it is "bacterial SSU rRNA". It matches the Rfam family "Bacterial small subunit ribosomal RNA", at positions 28 to 417 of the family's 1533-position model. The record is from RNAcentral.
GACGAACGCUGGCGGCGUGCUUAACAUAUGCAAGUCGAGCGGUAAGGCCCUUUCGGGGGUACACGAGCGGCGAACGGGUGAGUAACACGUGGGUGACCUGCCCUCAGCUCUGGGAUAAGCCUGGGAAACCGGGUCUAAUACUGGAUAUGACUCCAUGACGCAUGUUGUGGGGUGAAAGCCUUGUGCGGCUGAGGAUGGGCCCGCGGCCUAUCAGCUUGUUGGUGGGGUGANGGCCUACCAAGGCGACGACGGGUAGCCGGCCUGAGAGGGCGACCGGCCACACUGGGACUGAGACACGGCCCAGACUCCUACGGGAGGCAGCAGUGGGGAAUCUUGCGCAAUGGGCGAAAGCCUGACGCAGCGACGCCGCGUGAGGGAUGACGGCCU